RNAcentral lists this transfer RNA (61 nucleotides) under Vaejovis smithi. RNAcentral describes it as "tRNA-Met". Lineage: Eukaryota; Metazoa; Arthropoda; Arachnida; Scorpiones; Vaejovidae. The record is from RNAcentral.
UAAAAAGUAAGCUAAGAUAAGCUAUUGGGUUCAUACCCCAAAAAUGGUUUACCCUUUUUAA